RNAcentral lists this long non-coding RNA (988 nucleotides) under Gallus gallus (chicken). Its description in RNAcentral is "long non-coding RNA NONGGAT003295". The record is from RNAcentral. Lineage: Eukaryota; Metazoa; Chordata; Aves; Galliformes; Phasianidae.
CAGUGCACUACCCAGAGAACUAAAUAAGGCCGGGAUGGGAUCUUGAAAGCACUCGAUGCCAGCUGGGUUCUGCCAACCUCUGGUCCUGCCAAACGGAAUCCCCUAAGAGCUCUUAUCUGUGCAGUACUCUUACUGGGGCCACCCAACUUCCAGCGCCCUUCACUUCUUUCAGAAAGUCAUGUGCUGUCUCAACUUCAUUUCCCAACGCGAGGUUACAUUUAUUCUGUAGCCAUAGAGCUCCUGUAGGCGUAUUUGCCCGUCCCCCAUCAUUUCACACCAAAGUAUCAUCAAACUCUGCUUAUUUGCACUUUCAGCCUGUGCCUUCUCACCAGGAAGAGAGCACGGACAGAGCUGGAGCUGUGUAUUUGCUCAGGCUGCACCAUUUAAGUCACGAUCACCCAGGCUGCCCAUAGCUUUCUGAUGUCCUUCCCACAGGUGCUCCCCAGCUGCUGGCUGCAGCGCACAGCACCAGGGAUGGAGGUUUGCCCCGCACACAGCAGACGUGGAUACCAUAAGAACUGUGGUCUUCGAUUAAGUCCAGAACCGCACAUUCUACAUGUCAGCUAUUUAUAUUUCAACAAACAAUGCAUUUCAUAGCCCCAUCCUUUGAAAGCCUCCAGGAGUCGCAGCCGGCACAAAGCACAGCGCAGCAACAGUUACAUCUGAGCUCACACAGGAAAGAGAGCACCGGCUUUUCUCAUGUCCAACGGAUGGAUGUGGAGGGAAGUCAACAGUGCCGAGUGCUGAAGGCACAGACUGCAGCAGCACGAGGGGUCAGCGAUGAGUUUGACCCGCUGUGGCCACCGCUCUGCAAUUUAAUUAACAUUUCCAUUCUAAAGAAGCCCAACCCAUUUGCAAGUACUAAGUAACAUGGUAAAUAUGGAACAAAUUAUCGGCAACAGCAGGGGACAUUUAAAAUAUGCAUCUUGAGUUCAGAGCCACUCAGAAACCUGCGGUGAUGCAGUCACUCAAACACAGCCAUCCUUAU